GAUGAACGCUGGCGGCGUGCCUAAUACAUGCCAGUCGAGCGAACAGACGAGGAGCUUGCUCCUCUGACGUUAGCGGCGGACGGGUGAGUAACACGUGGAUAACCUACCUAUAAGACUGGGAUAACUUCGGGAAACCGGAGCUAAUACCGGAUAAUAUAUUGAACCGCAUGGUUCAAUAGUGAAAGACGGUUUUGCUGUCACUUAUAGAUGGAUCCGCGCCGCAUUAGCUAGUUGGUAAGGUAACGGCUUACCAAGGCAACGAUGCGUAGCCGACCUGAGAGGGUGAUCGGCCACACUGGAACUGAGACACGGUCCAGACUCCUACGGGAGGCAGCAGUAGGGAAUCUUCCGCAAUGGGCGAAAGCCUGACGGAGCAACGCCGCGUGAGUGAUGAAGGUCUUCGGAUCGUAAAACUCUGUUAUUAGGGAAGAACAAAUGUGUAAGUAACUAUGCACGUCAUGACGGUACCUAAUCAGAAAGCCACGGCUAACUACGUG
RNAcentral lists this ribosomal RNA (497 nucleotides) under uncultured bacterium. RNAcentral's name for it is "partial 16S ribosomal RNA". It matches the Rfam family "Bacterial small subunit ribosomal RNA", at positions 28 to 507 of the family's 1533-position model. The record is from RNAcentral.